Molecule: non-coding RNA, 23 nt
Filed under: Arabidopsis thaliana (thale cress)
Lineage: Eukaryota; Viridiplantae; Streptophyta; Magnoliopsida; Brassicales; Brassicaceae
Source: RNAcentral
AAAGGGUGGUCCAAGUCUCUGUA